Long non-coding RNA from Sinocyclocheilus grahami, 278 nucleotides. RefSeq lists it as uncharacterized. The record is from RefSeq and is a predicted model, not a curated record. Lineage: Eukaryota; Metazoa; Chordata; Actinopteri; Cypriniformes; Cyprinidae. The transcript is spliced from 3 exons.
CUAUCUUGGGGGCUCUGUGGUUACUGGUGCUGGCCGACAUUCAGGACUUCGAGAUCAUACUUCACAGAGUGGAAUGGGCCACCCUGUUGUUCUUUGCUGCUCUGUUUGUGCUUAUGGAGGCCCUAGCCCAGCUGCAGCUCAUCGACUACAUCGGGGAGCAGACAGCAGUGUUGAUAAAAGCAGUGCCAGAGGAUGAGCGGUUGGCCAUCGCCAUCAUUUUGGUCAUGUGGGUCUCAGCACUGGCCUCCUCUCUUAUAGACAACAUUCCCUUCACUGCC